AUCCAGCUGACGAGUCCCAAAUAGAACGAAACGCGCGUCAAACAGGAU
Molecule: non-coding RNA, 48 nt
Filed under: Schistosoma mansoni
Lineage: Eukaryota; Metazoa; Platyhelminthes; Trematoda; Strigeidida; Schistosomatidae
Source: RNAcentral